UCCGUAGGUGAACCUGCGGAAGGAUCAUUAAAAAGUACCGAGUGGCGUCCCCGCCACGGGUUAAUGCACCGAUGCCCCAUGGGCACGUGACGUGUAAAAUUACUUGUUGAAACACUUUAUUUAUGCUUCGGUUGCUCCUUCUGUCUAACCGCGGAGGGGUAAGUCGGCCAGAGGCACACUUUAAAACUAGUUGAUGAAAUGUCAUGCUGUCUGAUACUGUUUAGUAUUUGAGAAAUCGAAUAUCUGUUAAAACUUUCAGCAACGGAUCUCUUGGUUCUCGCAUCGAUGAAGAACGCAGCGAAACGCGAUAGGUAAUGUGAAUUGCAGAAUUCCGUGAAUCAUCGAAUCUUUGAACGCACAUUGCGCCUUCUGGUAUUCCGGUAGGCAUAUCUGUUUGAGCGUCAGCAAAAACCUCUCAGCAUUUAAUUUAUGUUGGUACUGGGCGUGAGGUAUGAGCUUAUAGUAUAGCUCGCCUCCGCUUUAAACUUGCUGCACGACCGUAAGCUAUUGCUAGGUUUUAUGAAGUUGGUGUUUACAUUUUUUUCAUAAUCUAGUGGUUGGGGG
RNAcentral lists this ribosomal RNA (564 nucleotides) under uncultured fungus. RNAcentral describes it as "eukaryotic LSU rRNA". The stretch from base 251 to 404 matches the Rfam family "5.8S ribosomal RNA". Lineage: Eukaryota; Fungi. The record is from RNAcentral.